RNAcentral lists this ribosomal RNA (408 nucleotides) under uncultured bacterium. RNAcentral's name for it is "partial 16S ribosomal RNA". It matches the Rfam family "Bacterial small subunit ribosomal RNA", at positions 28 to 526 of the family's 1533-position model. The record is from RNAcentral.
GACGAACGCUGGCGGCGUGCCUAAUACAUGCAAGUCGAGCGAGGCGGCGGAUGGGUGAGUAACGCGUGGGUAACCUGCCCUUCAGUCUGGGAUCACAUUUGGAAACAGAUAAUACUCCCGGAUACUUAAGUCUGGACCUGCGAUGCAUUAGCUAGUUGGAAAGGUAACGGCUUACAAAGGCGAUGAUGCCUAGCCGGGGUGAGAGAAUGAUCGGCCACACUGGGACUGCGAUACGGCCCAAACUCCUACGGGAGGCAGCAGUAGGGAAUCUUGCACAAUGGACGAAAGUCUGAUGGAGCAACGCCGCGUGAGUGAAGAAGGUUUUCGGAUCGUAAAGCUCUGUUGUUGGUGAAGCGGUAAUCAACCAGAAAGCCACGGCUAACUACGUGCCAGCAGCCGCGGUAAUAC